RNAcentral lists this ribosomal RNA (443 nucleotides) under uncultured bacterium. RNAcentral describes it as "partial 16S ribosomal RNA". It matches the Rfam family "Bacterial small subunit ribosomal RNA", at positions 338 to 795 of the family's 1533-position model. The record is from RNAcentral.
CCUACGGGUGGCAGCAGUGGGGAAUAUUGCACAAUGGGCGAAAGCCUGAUGCAGCAACGCCGCGUGAGGGAAGAAGGGUUUCGGCUCGUAAACUUCUAUCAACAGGGACGAAAGAAAUGACGGUCCCUGCAGAAGAAGCCCCGGCUAACUACGUUCCAGCAGCCACGGUAAUACGUAUGGGGCAGGCGUUAUCCGGAAUUAAUGGGUGUAAAGGGUGAGUAGGCGGCAUGGUAAGCCAGAUGGGAAAGCCUUGGGCUUAAACCGAGGACCGGAUGUGGAACUAGCAGGCUAGAGUACAGGAGAGGAAAGCGGAAUUCGCAGUGUAGCGGUGAAAUGCGUAGAUAUCAGGAAGAACACCAGUGGCGAAGGCGGCUUUCUGGCUUGAAACUGACGCUGAGGCACGAAAGCGUGGGGAGCGAACAGGAUGAGAUACCCGGGUAGUC